Mycena polygramma is the source of this 83-nucleotide non-coding RNA. The record is from the annotation of a GenBank genome assembly. NCBI's taxonomy places the organism in Eukaryota, Fungi, Basidiomycota, Agaricomycetes, Agaricales, Mycenaceae.
GCCGCCGUAGGUCAUGGAGGCCGCCUGCUGAAACUUAAUUGACUUGAAAGCGGGCCGCGGAGGUUCGAUUCUUCCCGGCGGCA